Molecule: ribosomal RNA, 431 nt
Filed under: uncultured bacterium
Lineage: Bacteria
Description: partial 16S ribosomal RNA
Rfam family: Bacterial small subunit ribosomal RNA
Source: RNAcentral
ACGCACGCUGGCGGCAUGCCUAACACAUGCAAGUCGAACGAGACCUUCGGGUCUAGUGGCGCACGGGUGCGUAACGCGUGGGAACCUGCCCUUAGGUUCGGAAUAACUCCCCGAAAGGGGUGCUAAUACCGGAUAAUGUCUUCGGACCAAAGAUUUAUCGCCUUUGGAUGGGCCCGCGUUGGAUUAGCUAGUUGGUAGGGUAAAAGCCUACCAAGGCGACGAUCCAUAGCUGGUCUGAGAGGAUGAUCAGCCACACUGGGACUGAGACACGGCCCAGACUCCUACGGGAGGCAGCAGUGGGGAAUAUUGGACAAUGGGCGAAAGCCUGAUCCAGCAAUGCCGCGUGAGUGAUGAAGGCCUUAGGGUUGUAAAGCUCUUUUACCCGGGAUGAUAAUGACAGUACCGGGAGAAUAAGCUCCGGCUAACUCCGU